RNAcentral lists this long non-coding RNA (239 nucleotides) under Eucalyptus grandis. Its description in RNAcentral is "long non-coding RNA (EGRA_LNC001358)". Lineage: Eukaryota; Viridiplantae; Streptophyta; Magnoliopsida; Myrtales; Myrtaceae. The record is from RNAcentral.
GGCCGCGUUGUCGAAGGACCAUCCGCGCUGCCGGAGCCUCUCCACCAGCGCGGCUUCCGAAGAAGAAUACGUCAACGACGCCGCCGCCGCCGCCGCCGCCGCCGCCGACGACGACGACGACGGAGCAGGAGCGGGAGCGGGAGCGGGAGCGGGAGCAGGAGGAGCAGGAGCGGGAGCGGAGGACGAGCUCAGUUCCAUCUCGAGAGAGAAUUCUCUGCAAAAGCAAAAGCUGCGCGGCC